GACGAACGCUGGCGGCGUGCCUAAUACAUGCAAGUCGAGCGCAGGAAACUGACGGAACUCUUCGGAGGGAAGGCAGUGGAAUGAGCGGCGGACGGGUGAGUAACACGUAAGGAACCUGCCUCAAGGAUUGGGAUAACUCCGAGAAAUCGGAGCUAAUACCGGAUAGUUCAACGGACCGCAUGGUCCGCUGAUGAAAGGCGCUCCGGCGUCACCUUGAGAUGGCCUUGCGGUGCAUUAGCUAGUUGGUGGGGUAACGGCCCACCAAGGCGACGAUGCAGGGCCAACCUGAGAGGGUGGUCGGCCACACUGGGACUGAGACACGGCCCAGACUCCUACGGGAGGCAGCAGUAGGGAAUCUUCCACAAUGGACAAAAGUCUGAUGGAGCAACGCCGCGUGAGUGAUGAAGGUUUUCGGAUCGUAAAACUCUGUUGUAAGGGAAGAACACGUACGAGAGGAAAUGCUCGUACCUUGACGGUACCUUACGAGAAAGCCACGGCUAACUACGUGCCAGCAGCCGCCGUAA
Molecule: ribosomal RNA, 524 nt
Filed under: uncultured bacterium
Lineage: Bacteria
Description: partial 16S ribosomal RNA
Rfam family: Bacterial small subunit ribosomal RNA
Source: RNAcentral